RNAcentral lists this ribosomal RNA (481 nucleotides) under uncultured bacterium. RNAcentral describes it as "partial 16S ribosomal RNA". It matches the Rfam family "Bacterial small subunit ribosomal RNA", at positions 28 to 523 of the family's 1533-position model. The record is from RNAcentral.
GACGAACGCUGGCGGCGUGCUUAACACAUGCAAGUCGAACGAUGAAGGAGAGCUUGCUCUCCGGAUUAGUGGCGAACGGGUGAGUAACACGUGACUAACCUGCCCCUUUCUCUGGGAUAACGCUCCGAAAGGAGUGCUAAUACCGGAUACGAACUCUGAACACAUGUUCGGAGUUGGAAAGUUUUUCGGAAAGGGAUGGAGUCGCGGCCUAUCAGCUUGUUGGUGAGGUAACGGCUCACCAAGGCGACGACGGGUAGCCGGCCUGAGAGGGCGACCGGCCACACUGGGACUGAGACACGGCCCAGACUCCUACGGGAGGCAGCAGUGGGGAAUAUUGCACAAUGGGCGAAAGCCUGAUGCAGCGACGCCGCGUGAGGGAUGAAGGUCUUCGGAUUGUAAACCUCUUUCAGUAGGGACGAAGCGAAAGUGACGGUACCUAAAGAAGAAGCACCGGCUAACUACGUGCCAGCAGCCGCCGCCG